Molecule: long non-coding RNA, 1303 nt
Filed under: Glycine max (soybean)
Lineage: Eukaryota; Viridiplantae; Streptophyta; Magnoliopsida; Fabales; Fabaceae
Description: long non-coding RNA (GMAX_LNC002156)
Source: RNAcentral
CAAUUCUGCCACUGCUGACAACAAAACCGGUUCCAAGGUCGGAGAGUACGCAGAUUAUGGUUCUCAGAAGGCGAAAGAAACAAAAGAUGCAACGAAGGAAAAAGCUGGAGAGUACACAGAUUAUGCUUCGCAGAAGGCGAAGGAAACGAAGGACAAGACAAUGGAAAAGGCUGGAGAGUACACUGAUUAUGCUUCGCAGAAGGCGAAGGAAACGAAGGACAAGACAAUGGAGAAGGCUGGAGAGUACACAGAUUAUGCUUCGCAGAAGGCGAAAGAAGCCAAGGACAAGACAAUGGAGAAGGGAGGGGAAUAUAAAGACUAUGCUGCAGAGAAGGCUAAAGAAGGAAAAGAUGCUACUGUGAAUAAGAUGGGAGAGUAUAAAGAUUAUACGGCGGAGAAGGCUAAAGAGGGGAAAGAUACGACGUUGGGGAAGCUUGGGGAGCUGAAGGACUCUGCGGCUGAUGCGGCGAAGAGGGCAGUGGGUUACUUGAGCGGCAAGACAGAGGAAACCAAAGAGAAAGUCUCGGAGACGGCAGAGGCGACGGCUAAUAAGGCGGCGGAGAUGAAGGAGGCCACCAGGGAGAAGGCUGCCGGGACUGCGGAGGCGGCCAAGAACAAGGCCGCAGAGGUAAAGGACAGAGCUGCAGAAACCGCGGAGGCGGCCAAGAACAAGACUGCCGAGACUGCUGAGGCAGCGAAGCAGAAAACCGCACAGGCAAAGGACAACGCCAAGGUUUCACCUUUAUAUUAAUCUUUUUUAAUCUCUAUAUUUAAAAUUGGUCAUUUUAAUUUCAUGCUUCUAUUGAAAAUUUGGAAUGCAGUGGAUUUCGUCCUUGACUAGCUAAUCUAACUGUUCCCAAGUCAAAAUGGGGUUAACCAAAAUCAUUAUAGAGAAUACAAUCAAUUUGUGUAACACCCCUUUAAUACCGGCGCGUUCCUUAGUUUGGAGCCGAAUACUGAUGAGUGUUUUAACUUGAUCAUUAUAUUGAGUUGUAUUACAUUUUUUUUUCUCACUAUAUAUAUCUUGGAGUAGAGAUAGAGAGUGUCCCAGUUUGGACCUUAAAACAGAUUUUACUUAUUCGUUAUUAUUUUGGGUUUGCAUUUAUGUUUGUAUGUAAUAAUGGGAGUAAUAAUUGUUGAGGUUAGAGAAAAUUGACUAGUUUUUGUGGGUGUGAUGUGAUGCAGGAAAAUGUGAGUGGUGCAGAUGAAGGAGCAAGGAGGAAAAUGGAGGACCUAAGGCUUCGAGGUAAAGGGUAUGGAAGUCAUGAAUCUGCAGGGGGGCGUGGAGAUAAGGUGGUGGUGA